This 673-nucleotide ribosomal RNA is filed under the name uncultured bacterium. RNAcentral describes it as "bacterial SSU rRNA". It matches the Rfam family "Bacterial small subunit ribosomal RNA", at positions 141 to 808 of the family's 1533-position model. The record is from RNAcentral.
GGAUAAUCGGGAGAAAUCCCGUCUAAUACCGCGUAAUGCCGCGGGGCUGCAUGGCCCUGCGGCCAAAGGGAGCGAUUCCGGCAACGGAUGGGCAUGCGUGACAUUAGCUAGUUGGCGGGGCAACGGCCCACCAAGGCGACGAUGUCUAGGGGUUCUGAGAGGAAGGUCCCCCACACUGGUACUGAGACACGGACCAGACUCCUACGGGAGGCAGCAGUGAGGAAUAUUGGUCAAUGGGCGCGAGCCUGAACCAGCCAAGUCGCGUGAGGGAUGACGGCCCUACGGGUUGUAAACCUCUUUUGUCGGGGAGCAAAUUCCGCCACGUGUGGCGGAGUCGAGAGUACCCGAAGAAAAAGCAUCGGCUAACUCCGUGCCAGCAGCCGCGGUAAUACGGAGGAUGCGAGCGUUAUCCGGAUUUAUUGGGUUUAAAGGGUGCGUAGGCGGACUGUCAAGUCAGCGGUAAAAUACGGGGGCUCAACCUCCGCCCGCCGUUGAAACUGACGGUCUUGAGUGGGCGAGAAGUAUGCGGAAUGCGUGGUGUAGCGGUGAAAUGCAUAGAUAUCACGCAGAACUCCGAUUGCGAAGGCAGCAUACCGGCGCCCGACUGACGCUGAAGCUCGAAAGCGUGGGUAUCGAACAGGAUUAGAUACCCUGGUAGUCCACGCAGUAAACG